GUAAAAAGAACCAUUAAACAUUUUGUCACCCUAGAUUGUUCAGUCAAAUAUAUUCUUUAAAAUGUAAUGUUCAUAGAAAUAGUGUUUUUUAACCACUUUCUUUCGUAUUGUUUAUUACUUUCGGUGUUAUCUCCCGUAGUUGUCAUGCGCUAUUUUUUAACCUAAAUUAGAGGAUGUAGGUCGAGCUGAACCAAAGACAUUUACAUCAAAUUAGGAAUUUGUAGGUCAAGCACCUGCUGUACAUAGAACAACAACCCAUUACAGCUUUGACUAUGCAGAGCAGGUAUUCUACCCAUACUAGGCACAGCAAGAGGGCCCUGCUUUGAAGUGUCUGUAAAUCAUAUGGUUCUCAGAUAUUUAUCUCAGUGAUAAGGGUUUAGCUAUUAUUUGGCCAAUGUUGUGGUACCUCAUUUUCAACAUCAUCCAUAUGGAGAAGAAUCUGCAUACCUGCACGUUGACAACUGUGUUGGGCAGAGUAAAAACAAUGCAGUCAUUGGGGUCUGAUGUAUUCUGAAGGGGCUACAUAGAGAAAUGGCAUUUACUUAAAUGGAAGCAAGUGAAAUAAAGUUCAGUCCUGUCUGAGAUUUGGUCUGUGGAAGACCAAAUGGAGGCAGCACACAUUCUUUGUGGAUUGAUGACCUUGGCAAACUGGUUAUAUUCUUUGACCGGUUGGAGUACACCAAGAGACCCCUGAAGUCCAUUCCAAACUUGAGGAAAUAUCAUCACUUCAGAACUUCAGCUGACAACCCAGUGAGUGAAUUCAUGAGAGAGCAUGUCAAGGACAGUGAGAUUGAAGUUAAAAUUGACAAGCCUACAACAAUGGCUUUUCCAUGGAGAGUACCCUGAACGCAUCCAACUAAAAGGACUUGAUGCAAAAAGGCUCUGAUCUCUUAAAUAACUGAAAAAAAAACUGUUCAGUAUACUGAUAUGUGAUCUUUAUAAACUAAAUCUAAGAUUUGAGAAUGAUCCGUUACUGAGCUGAUGAAAACGUGUAUCAAUUUUUAUUGACAAUUAUUUAUUCAAUAGAAGCAUGUUUAUGUGAAAUAAGGCUACCAGUGAUUUCGAGUGAUAAACUGUGGUUUUAGCAAAUGAGUGAUGGAAGGGUGCUGCACCCAUUCUUUUGUUUGUAAAACUCUUCUGCCAUAAUGGAGACCACUAUAUGAUUAUUUAUUAUUAAUACAAACUUAAAAAAGCUGGCAGUUGAAGCCUAUAAAUUCUUGAGUUAAAGACAUUUAUAAUAUUGUUUGUCAAAAUUAGUUACUUCACAGUCUGUACCUUAGCAACCUUUCAGUUUUUCUUCAAUAUCUUCAUUUUUAAAACCUUCCUGAACCCUAUAAACAUUUUAGCUUUAACUUUUACCCUAUAAAUAAGCAUCAAGAAUACCAUUUGUCAUGUACUAUGUGACCAAUUGCACUUAUUGAAACUACAUAAUGAUGUGUACAUGCUAAGUAGUUAGUAUGUUAAAUUAAUUGUUUUCAUUUUGUAAAUGUGCCCAUUUAUUAACUGAUCUUUUUAUACAAUAGUGUAAAUUAUGCAGUAUUGUUAUGUUUAUUAAAUUAAGAGUAUAUUAA
Long non-coding RNA from Mya arenaria, 1571 nucleotides. RefSeq lists it as uncharacterized. Lineage: Eukaryota; Metazoa; Mollusca; Bivalvia; Myida; Myidae. The record is from RefSeq and is a predicted model, not a curated record. The transcript has 6 exons.